UGAUACCAGAGUCAAAAGGUCAUGCUGUUCAUGCUUGCAUGAAAAAGCAUGACUUUGGGACCCGUAAAACAUGAGAAAGUAGCCAUUUUUCGUAGAAAAAUGAGCGGAUUUCGAAUGUUUUUAGGAUUUCGUGAGCGUGAAACACGGAGAAAUCCGUUGGUAUCA
Small RNA from Anaerostipes sp. 992a, 165 nucleotides. It matches the Rfam family "Clostridiales-1 RNA". Lineage: Bacteria; Bacillati; Bacillota; Clostridia; Lachnospirales; Lachnospiraceae. The record is from Rfam.